GCGUGUUAUUAGCUCUAUGAUUUAGUGAUGAUUUUAAUGCUCCCCGGCAUGACAGAAUUGCUGUGUGUAGUCUUUGCCCAUCUCUCAUGAUGGGCUUUUUUUUUU
Small RNA from Sodalis sp. TME1, 105 nucleotides. It matches the Rfam family "RprA RNA". From Rfam's summary of the family: Translational regulation of the stationary phase sigma factor RpoS is mediated by the formation of a double-stranded RNA stem-loop structure in the upstream region of the rpoS messenger RNA, occluding the translation initiation site. Clones carrying rprA (RpoS regulator RNA A) increased the translation of RpoS. NCBI's taxonomy places the organism in Bacteria, Pseudomonadati, Pseudomonadota, Gammaproteobacteria, Enterobacterales, Bruguierivoracaceae. The record is from Rfam.